UGAAUAUCAAUGACCAGGAAGAGUAAACAUACGCAGGAAGCUGCAGCGAGCCAAUGAUAGUGAGAGUUUGGCGCUAAACCGGUAUGGCGAAUGGGCCUGGGAGAUACAGUCCGAGCCGUUUCAGGGACGGGGUAGGCGCUGUCGGAUUCUUCCGCCGUUAGCAGGAAGCAGGUAUCGGAUAGUAUCCCGUACUUUGAUAAGCCGGGUCAGAGUUUGUCAUGACCAAUGAGGGUGGCACCGCGGGUUAUUCCCCGUCCCUUGA
This 262-nucleotide non-coding RNA is filed under the name uncultured Sporomusa sp. The record is from RNAcentral. Lineage: Bacteria; Bacillati; Bacillota; Negativicutes; Selenomonadales; Sporomusaceae.